UCUACUAAUAUGAAUUAUUAGCCUAUACUAAUAUGAAUUCCUAUACUAAUAUGAUUGAAAUUAGUUUGACUUGUAUAAUAAUUGUUCUCCCAGAUUGGACAUAAGUAGAUUGCAAGGCUAAUGGAAAGUAGAAAAGUUAACUCAUGAACAUAAAAGAGAUAUCGAUUUGAAAACAAAACAUUUAUUCAUUUACUUCCGCUGCAGAUUUCUUGACUGCUGAAUUUCAUGAGAAGGGAUUGUUCAGGGAGGGAUGUGGGACUGAAGACCUGGAGAGGAGGUGGUGCUACCGCUGUUCACAUCUGAGGGUGGUGGAGAUGGAGCCUUGGGGAGGAGCAGGUGCUGCCUUUUAAGUCUAUGAGAGUCGUUGAGCUGGAGGUCCAGGGAGGAGCCGGUGCUCCCACUGAUGUCUUAGGUUGUGGAGCUGAAGACAGUGAAGGAGCCAGUGUGGCUGUUCUGUGAGACUCGUGGAGCUGGAGAUCCAGGUGGGAGAGGUGUUUUAGCUCGGGGAGGAGCUGAUGUUCUACCUUGAGGGUCCUGCAGCUGCAGACCCGGGGAGGAGCUGAUGUUCUAGUUUGAGUGUCGUGCAGCUGCAGACCCGGGGAGGAGCUGAUGUUCUAGUUUGAGUGUCGUGCAGCUGCAGACCUGGGGAGGAGCUGAUGUUCUAGAUUGAGUGUCAUGCAGCUGCAGACCCGGGGAGGAGCUGAUGUUCUAGUUUGAGGGUCGUGCACCUGCAGACCCGGGGAGGAGCUGAUGUUCUAGAUUGAGGGUCGUGCACCUGCAGACCCGGGGAGGAGCUGAUGUUCUAGAUUGAGGGUCGUGCACCUGCAGACCCGGGGAGGAGCUGAUGUUCUAGUUUGAGGGUCGUGCACCUGCAGACCCGGGGAGGAGCUGAUGUUCUAGUUUGAGGGUCUCCCAGCUGCCGACCUGGAGAGGAGCUGAUGUUCUAAUUUGAGUGUCGUGCAGCUGAAGACUUGGGGAGGAGCUGAUGUUGUUCGCGUUGAGGGUCUUUCAGUUGGAGACUCAGGGAGGAGCUGAUGUUCUAGAAUUAGGGUCAUAGAACUGGAGACCUGGAGAGAAGGUAAUGUUCUAGUUUUAGGUUCUUGCAGCUGCAGACCCGGAGAGGAGCUGAUGUUCUAGUUUUAGGUUCUUGCAGCUGCAGACCCAGAGAGGAGCUGAUGUUCUAGAUUGAGGGUCAUGCAGCUGAAGACUCGGGGAGGAGCUGAUGUUCUAGUUUGAGGAUCUUGCAGCUGAAGACCUGUAGAGGAGCUGAUGUUCUAGAUUGAGGGUCUUGCAGUUGAGGACUUG
Molecule: long non-coding RNA, 1305 nt
Filed under: Pan troglodytes (chimpanzee)
Lineage: Eukaryota; Metazoa; Chordata; Mammalia; Primates; Hominidae
Description: long non-coding RNA NONPTRT012308
Source: RNAcentral